CACGUAGGGUGCGAGCGUUGUCCGGAAUUAUUGGGCGUAAAGAGCUCGUAGGCGGUCCGUCACGUCGGGUGUGAAAUUCCAGGGCUCAACCCUGGACCUGCAUUCGAUACGGGCGGACUAGAGUUCGGUAGGGGAGACUGGAAUUCCUGGUGUAGCGGUGAAAUGCGCAGAUAUCAGGAAGAACACCUAUGGCGAAGGCAGCACUCUGGGACGGUACUGACGCUGAGACGCGAAAGCGUGGGGAGCGAACAGG
Molecule: ribosomal RNA, 253 nt
Filed under: uncultured bacterium
Lineage: Bacteria
Description: partial 16S ribosomal RNA
Rfam family: Bacterial small subunit ribosomal RNA
Source: RNAcentral